RNAcentral lists this ribosomal RNA (792 nucleotides) under uncultured archaeon. RNAcentral describes it as "bacterial SSU rRNA". It matches the Rfam family "Archaeal small subunit ribosomal RNA", at positions 85 to 878 of the family's 1478-position model. The record is from RNAcentral.
ACUGCUCAGUAACACGUGGAUAACCUACCCAAGAGUCCGGGAUAACCCCGGGAAACUGGGGAUAAUACCGGAUAGAUCACUUCGGCUGGAAGGCGUUGUGGUUGAAACUUCCGGGGCUUUUGGAUGGGUCUGCGGCUGAUUAGGUUGUUGCCGGUGUAAUGUACCGUCAAGCCUGUAAUCAGUACGGGUUGUGGGAGCAAGAGCCCGGAGAUGGAUUCUGAGACACGAAUCCAGGCCCUACGGGGCGCAGCAGGCGCGAAAACUCUACAAUGCAGGCAACUGCGAUAGGGGAACAUCGAGUGAUCCUCAUAUUGGGGGUCUGUCCACUCGCCUAAAAAGCGGGUGUUAGCAAGGGCCGGGCAAGACCGGUGCCAGCCGCCGCGGUAAUACCGGCGGCUCGAGUGGUGGCCGAUAUUAUUGAGUCUAAAGGGUCCGUAGCCGGCUUUGCAAGUCUCUCGGGAAAUCCAGCGGCUUAACCGUUGGUCGUCCGGGGGGUACUACAUUGCUUGGGACUGGGAGAGGUAGGAGGUACUCAGGGGGUAGGAGUGAAAUCCUGUAAUCCUUUGGGGACCACCGGUGGCGAAGGCGUCCUACCAGAACAGGUCCGACGGUGAGGGACGAAAGCUAGGGGCACGAACCGGAUUAGAUACCCGGGUAGUCCUAGCCGUAAACGAUGCUCGCUAGGUGUCACAACAGUCGUGAACUGUUGUGGUGCCGUAGGGAAGCCGUGAAGCGAGCCACUUGGGAAGUACGACCGCAAGGUUGAAACUUAAAGGAAUUGGCGGGGGAGCA